Andrographis paniculata is the source of this 5600-nucleotide RNA transcript. RefSeq lists it as uncharacterized. The transcript has 6 exons. NCBI's taxonomy places the organism in Eukaryota, Viridiplantae, Streptophyta, Magnoliopsida, Lamiales, Acanthaceae. The record is from RefSeq and is a predicted model, not a curated record.
GGAGAUCAAAACUGCGUCGUUUCCUUAAGCCGUCUGCGCUCCUCGUCAGUCUUGACUCUUGUGUCUGUGAUUUUAUCUGUCUGCCGCAGCUGAUUCUUCGCGAGGUCUUCCCGCAAUCCCUUCCGCGAUUCAUUCUAUCCAAGGAAAAUGUUCUUUAUGUGUAUGUGAUGAAAGAAGCGAAGCCGUUUGUUUCAAUUGAAAAAUUGAGGAUUGUGCGUUUUGAGCUGUUUGAGUGAUCUGGGGGUUUUCAAUUUGGGGAUUUCGGGGUUCUAGGGUUUUAUUUUUGGACUUCAACUGGAGGGGUUAGAUGGUUAGGGUUUUGGUGCGUGGGAAUCAGCAGUAGGAAAUUUGGAAAGGAAUUAAGCUGAAUUGAUGGUUGAAGCUUGGGUAUUUUGUUUUGAGAAAUUUGGGGAAAAUGCAAAACAGCAGUCUUUAUUAUGCAUGGGAGGUGUCAGAGGGAAGGUAAGGAAAGCAGCCCAAGUUCAGAAAACGGUAUUAGUUGGCAUAUGCACUCAGCUGUAAUUGCUUCGGAUUCAAAUUCGUUCUUCAAGGAUGGCCGCAGAAUUAGCCUUGGUGAUUGUGCUCUUUUUAAACCACCACAGGAUUGUGCGCCAUUCAUUGGUUUAAUUUGUUCGCUGCCAUCAAGCAAAGAGAACAUUUUAAAGUUACAAGUGAAUUGGAUAUAUCGACCAUCUGAAAUAAAGCUUGGGAAAGGCUCAUUGUUGGACAGUGCUCCAAACGAGAUUUUCUAUUCAUUUCACAAGGACGAGAUUCCUGCUGCCUCCCUACUUCACCCGUGCAAAGUAGCCUUUCUUCCUAAAGGUGUAGAGCUUCCGAAGGGCACAUACUCUUUUGUGUGCAGACGCGUUUAUGACAUUGUGAACAAGUGUUUGUGGUGGUUAACGGAUAAAGAUUACAUUCAUGGGCGGCAGGAGGAAGUAGAGCAGCUUUUAUACAAAACAAGGACAGAAAUGCAUGCAACUUGUCAGCCCGGUGGUCGUUCUCCUAAGCAAGUUAAUGGUCCUACAUCAGCCUCACAAAUGAAAACUGGUUCUGACAAUGCACAAAAUACGGGGACAUCUCAAGUCAGGGGAAAGAAGAGAGAAAGAAGUGAUCAUGGUGGUGCUGAUUCUCUCAGAAGAGAACGCUCUUCUAGGACGGAUGAUGCUAGUUCGGCUCUGUAUAAAACAGAAAGCAAUAUAAAAACUGAGAUUUCAAGGAUUUCUGGGAAAGGGGUCAUCGAUCUGGAAGGGGUGGAUAAACUUGUUCAGCUAAUGCAGCAAGAUAAAAUGGAGAGAAAAAUGGAUUUUAGUACUCGUUCAAUGCUAGCUAAUGUAAUUGCUUCUAUCGACAAGGUUGAGUGCCUAAAUCGUUUCGUUCAACUCAGGGGGUUGACCGUAUUGGAUGAUUGGCUUCAGGAAAUUCAUCAAGGGAAGAAUGGUGAUGGUGGUAGUGCAAAGUACGGCGACAAAUCACUGGAGGAGUUUCUUUUGGUUUUACUUCGUGCACUGGAUAAACUUCCAGUUAAUCUGCAGGCCCUUCAAAUGUGCAACAUUGGAAGAUCUGUGAAUCAUUUACGAUCACAUAAAAAUACGGAAAUUCAAAGGAAAGCACGGGCUUUGGUUGACACAUGGAAGAAACGUGUUGAAGCUGAAAUGAUUAGUAUUGAUGCUAAGUCCAGUUCCAACCAACCUGUUGUCUCGUGGCCUUCCAAAUCACGCCUUCCAGAGGCAUCCCAUGUAAUUAGAACUCAGAGUGGAUCUGAUGUUGCCAUGAAAAGCGUAGUCACUCAGAAUUUGCCAGCUAAAACUUCACUCCGGUCUUCACAUGGGGAAAAUAGCAUAAAACAGGAAACGUCUUGUGGGUCAGUAAAACAAGCCUCUUCACCUUCAUCUGGAAAGGAGAACCAGCUUAGAACAUCUGUUAGUGUCAGUGCUGGUGCCGUUCAAAACAGGGAGGACAGAAGUAGUAGUUCCAUCCAGUCUCAUAAUAACAAUCAGUCUCCCUCGCCAAGAGACGACCAAAAGAGUUCUUCAAGUGGACUGGCUAUUAAUAGGACAUCAAACCAUGGUACCCGUAGUAAAAAAAGUAGUAUUGUCUCUGAGUCUGGAAGUCAGAAGGAAACCAGUUCUUGCAAGAGUUCGGCGCACAAAGGUUCUGCUGUAGAGAAGCUACCACAGUCUUCCUUAAUUAGUGAAGAAGUGCUCGAUGGAUCUGCUGGUGAAGGGAAUGGUCAUAAACUAGCUGUUAGAAUUUCUAGUAGGGUAAGAAGUCCUGCACAAGUCGGUGGGGGAUCUCAUGAUGAUCCUACCUUCACAAACAGCCAAGUUUCUUCUCCUAUGCAGUUAGAUAAACACGAGCAGCCUGAUCGUGCGUCACUGGAGAUGAUUGAUUCAAAUCGAUGCAAUGUUUUGUCUGAUCUGAAUACAUUGCAAAACAAUGAACAAAAGGUUGUGUUGGCUGGGUCAGAGGGUGUUGGGGCCCGAGCAGUUCCACAGCAUGAAGAUCAAAGUAUGACCAUUGAAGUACAGAAGAAAAUUACAAGAGGAACUUUGAAAAAUAAGGUGGAGCAAGUGAAAUUACACAGUUCUUUCAGCCCCAUGAAUGCUCUAAUUGAGAGCUGUGCUAAAUAUGCGGAGACAUCUUCGUCAUUAUCAAUUGAAGAUGAUGUUGGAAUGAAUUUACUUGCCAGUGUGGCUGCUGGAGAAAUGUCCAGAUCUGACAUGGUUACACCUACAGAUUCUAUGGAAAGAAAUAGCCCAGCAGUCGACCAAGUUUGUGCUAGUGAUGAAGCAAAAUCUAAGGGUUUGCAGGAUGAAUACGGUGCUGGAGUUAAGAAUCAGCCUUCAAAUGGUGCUGAAUGCAAUGGCAAGAAUCAGGCCGUUUUAGAUGGUUUUUCCCGAUAUGUUGAUGGUUUCGAUUUGUCUAAACAUGUGACUCCUGAGGCUUCUGGUGACAGAAGAAAUGUUCUGCCUGAGACCAAUGAAGAGUUGCCACCUACAGGGGCCGAUGACCUAUGCUCUUCCAAAAUGGAUUUAUCAAGCAAUGUUGUUACUAAAUCGGAGAUUAGUGAGCAACCCAAGGCAAACACAGUUGCUACUUCUGUGGCACUUACUGUUUGUAUGGAGAAGGUAAGAGAUGGAGAAUCAAAUGAGCAAAGUAGUGAUGAGAAGGCAGUUUCUAGUAGUGUUACUGUGGAAGGUGUUUCAAAUUGUAUAAGUGCUAGAGGUGAUGAUUUGGUGGACAUGUCCCGAUUUUUACAUGGGGUAUCAACACGAUUGGAUCAAGGCAAUGGUGACAAGAUCUUGGAGGAUAGAUUGGACUCGAAAAUCAAAUCAGAUGAGGAAGUACCCAUUGUAAAACUACCUACUUCAGCUUUUAAAUUUGAAUCUAAAGAAAAAGCUAGUGAUGAAAAACUGCUGCAUCAGAUUGAACAGAAACCUACUCUACAAGCUGAUGGUAAAAUACUCAAAGGAGAGUCUGAUGACAACGAUGAUAAGAGUCGCCUGAGCAAGCCUGAAAAACUUGACUUUGAUACAGAAAUGGCUGGAAAUGCAGCUGGUGACCACAAGGAUGCAUCUGGUCUGUGUUCCACAUCUGAUGAUCCUAAGAGUCAUUGUGGAGAAGCAAUUCCCAAAAGCAUGGAGAUUCAGGAACGAACAUCACUUCUGCAGAGUCGGACUCCUGGUUCUUUGGAACCUAAAAUUGUUAAGGAUGCUGGGUUGACAGUAUCUAAAUCUGUCAGUGUUCAUCCAGAUGAGGCAGGUGAGUCUACUUCUACUGGUGCCGAGACUACUUCCUCUUCCACAAGAACGUCCAAUGGAUGUGCUAAAUUAACAUUCGACUUAAAUGAAGGUCUUACUGCGGAUGAUGGGAAAUAUGAGGAGUUAGUGACUUCAACAUCCCCUGCUUCAGAAACUGUUCAUGCGACUAACUUAUUGCCAUUUUCUCAGAACUCUUUACGCAGUGGCCUUUCUUCCUCUAUAACUGUAGCUGCAGCUGCCAAAGGGCCGUUUGUUCUUCAUGACGACAUGAUGAAAAGUAAAGUUGAGUUUGGAUGGAAGGGUUCUGCUGCUACUAGUGCAUUUCGGCCUGCUGAACCUCGAAAAACAAUUGAAUCGCCACUCGGUUCAGGAAAUGUGGCUUGCCCUGAAGCUUCUUCUACCAAUAAACACGGACGAGUUCCUUUGGAUUUUGAUCUUAAUGUGCCAGAUGAAAGAGUUCUCGAGGAAAUAGCUUCUCGAGGUUCUAAUGUUGCUGUUGAUAUGUCAAGUAAAUCUUCGAUUCAGAAUGAAGCAUCAAACACUAUGACAGUACAUAGUUUUGGAGGGCUGGAUCUUGAUUUGAACCGAGCUGAUGAAACAUAUGGAAAUGGACACUGUUUGACCAGCAGCAAUUGUAAAGGAGAGGGUCCCAGUGCGCAUGUUGAACCGUUUGGUCUCUUACCUUCUGGCGAUACCUGUAGGAAUUUCGAUCUCAAUAACGGACCCAUGGUGGAUGACAUUAAUGGCGAACAUUUCUCUAUAAAUCAACUCGUCAAGGGGGGAAUCGUAUCUCCAUUACCUUCUGCAGGUCCUAGAAUGAAUGCUCCAGUAAUCGGCAGUAUCUCAUCAUGGUUUCCUCCCGGAGAUACUUACUCAACAGUUGCAGUCCCUUCAAUAUUACCCGAUCGAGGCGAGCAUCCUGUUCCAGUUUUUCCAACCAGUGCCCCUCCUCGGACAUUUGGGCCAGGCAGUGUUGCCCCAUUCAGCCCUGACGUGUUACGCGGGUCGGUACUGUCUUCGUCGCCUGCUGUCCCGUUCCAUUCCAGUCCAUAUCAGCUUCCUAUCUUCCCUUUCGGGACCCCUUUUCCAUUCCCAUCUGCAACAUUUUCAGUCGGCACCACCUCUUAUGCAUCAGAUUCAUCAUCAAAUGCAAGGAUGUUUGCACCUCCGGUGAAUUCACAGUUUCUUGGUCCUUUCAGUUCUGCUGCAUCUCAGUUUCAAAGGCCGUACGUAGUCAGCCUUCCCGACAAUGGUGGCCUGGAAAACAGCAGAAAAUGGGACAGACAGGGUUUGGACCUCAAUGCCGGCCCCGGGGGCAUGGAGAACAAAAUCAAGGGUGAGAUGAGGCCUCUAUCAUCCGGCCAACGAUCAGUUUCUAGUUCACAGGCAUUAGCCGAAGAGCAGGCAAGGAUUUUUCCCAUUUCAGGUAAUACUAUUUCGAAGAGGAAGGAUCCCGAGGGAGGCUGGGACAACGAGGCGCUAAGACACAAGCAGUCUUCUUGGCAAUAGAAUGUAUGCUUUGGUGGAUCAAGAUUCGGACAGUCAGCAUCGUGAUAUGGAUUACUAAUUCCCCAACCCUGCUAUGAACAGUCGUGUUCUUCAUGUUGCUGAUUGUCUGUAUCUAUGCUCCGAUGAGGAUGGGCUGAGCGCGUAGAUUUUCAUUUCAUGUAUGAUCUAUCUGUAUGCUCCGGCAACGUUUGUUCAGUUCGGUUCCAUUCCGACGAUAUUUGAGCUUGGGGAGAAGAGAAGAAGACAUUGUCCUGAUUGUAAAUAUGUUCUUACUGGUAGAGGACAGCGAUGAAUGAUAAAAAAAAGAAAGUGGAGUUUGAUGAUCCA